Molecule: non-coding RNA, 106 nt
Filed under: human gut metagenome
Description: FMN riboswitch (RFN element)
Rfam family: FMN riboswitch aptamer (RFN element)
About the family: The RFN element is a highly conserved domain that is found frequently in the 5'-untranslated regions of prokaryotic mRNAs that encode for flavin mononucleotide (FMN) biosynthesis and transport proteins. This element is a metabolite-dependent riboswitch that directly binds FMN in the absence of proteins.
Source: RNAcentral
UUCUUCGGGGCGGGGUGCGAUUCCCCACCGGUGGUACAGCCCACAAGCAGCAAUGCAGAUUCGGUGCAAUUCCGAAGCCGACGGUAUAGUCCGGAUGAGAGAAGAA